AAUUUUGGACAAUGGGCGAAAGCCUGAUCCAGCAAUGCCGCGUGCGGGAUGGAGGCAUUCGGGUUGUAAACUGCUUUUGUAUGGAACGAAAAAGCUCCUCCUAAUACAGGGGGCCCAUGACGGUACCGUCAGAAUAUGCACCGGCGAACUACGUGCCAGCAGCCGCGGUAAUACGUAGGGUGCGAGGGUUAAACGGAAUUACUGGGCGUAAAGCGUGCGCAGGCGGUUAUGUAAGACAGAUGUGAAAUCCCCGGGCUCAACCUGGGAACUGCAUUUGUGACUGCAUGGCUAGAGUACGGUAGAGGGGGAUGGAAUUCCGCGUGUAGCAGUGAAAUGCGUAGAUAUGCGGAGGAACACCGAUGGCGAAGGCAAUCCCCUGGACCUGUACUGACGCUCAUGCACGAAAGCGUGGGGAGCAAACAGG
RNAcentral lists this ribosomal RNA (424 nucleotides) under uncultured bacterium. RNAcentral describes it as "partial 16S ribosomal RNA". It matches the Rfam family "Bacterial small subunit ribosomal RNA", at positions 360 to 776 of the family's 1533-position model. The record is from RNAcentral.